Molecule: ribosomal RNA, 486 nt
Filed under: uncultured bacterium
Lineage: Bacteria
Description: bacterial SSU rRNA
Rfam family: Bacterial small subunit ribosomal RNA
Source: RNAcentral
AGUGAACGCUGGCGGUAGGCCUUACACAUGCAAGUCGAACGGCAGCAUGGGUGCUUGCACCUGAUGGCGAGUGGCGAACGGGUGAGUAAUGCAUCGGAACGUACCCGGAAGUGGGGGAUAACGUAGCGAAAGUUACGCUAAUACCGCAUAUUCUGUGAGCAGGAAAGCGGGGGAUCGCAAGACCUCGCGCUUCCGGAGCGGCCGAUGUCGGAUUAGCUAGUUGGCGGGGUAAAGGCCCACCAAGGCAACGAUCCGUAGCGGGUCUGAGAGGAUGAUCCGCCACACUGGGACUGAGACACGGCCCAGACUCCUACGGGAGGCAGCAGUGGGGAAUUUUGGACAAUGGGCGCAAGCCUGAUCCAGCCAUGCCGCGUGAGUGAAGAAGGCCUUCGGGUUGUAAAGCUCUUUCGGCGGGGAAGAAAUCGCAUCUCCUAAUACGGGGUGUGGAUGACGGUACCCGAAUAAGAAGCACCGGCUAACUACGUG